GUGCGCCGCUGCUGCGUGCCGGAGGGCGCCGCCGCGCCGAGCGCCGCCGCGGGCGGUGCCCAGCGCCGCCGUGCCCUCCCCUUUCCUCUUCUUUGUUUGCAGCCCGCCCGCCCCCAUGUGCCAGUCUUUGGCCGGCCGCCGGCCUUCGCCGGUGAAUGAGUGAGGCGCCGCCGCGGGCGGUUCCUCGUGUGGGUGGCGGGCGCCGAGGGCGGUCGUGUCCUGCGGAACGGGUGCCGCGGGGGUGGGCGAUGUCAAGGGCGGAGGAACGGGCGGCGCGGCUGCCGUUGCCGCGCAUGGAGCAGUAGGGGCGCUGAGAGCGCCAUGGAGGGCCGCUGAUGCGGUGGCCGCCGGUGGUCCGGCCGUGGAGGAGAUGAAACGAGGGUCGCCGACCGAUUGUGGGGUGACAGGCGCCGAGGGCGGCACUUGUGGAAAAGGGAUGGACGCCGAGGGCGCCUCCGCUAUCACCACCGCCGCCGUCGAGGGCGGCCAAGCGAGCGUCGGCGACUUCCCGUAGGAAAAACGAGAAAGAAACAGGCUUCCCUCCCCCGCCGUAGGCCUCGCCGCCUCGGGCCUCGCCCCGGCAGACCAGACACGACGACAGUCCCGCCCCUGCUCCGCGGCGUGCCCGUUUGCGCGGGAAACCCAUUAAAAAAGCGCAGAGGAAUGGAAACCGCCGCCCCGCCCGGCCCGCCAAAGCCGGACCCCGCGCCGCCUCGGCGCCUCCUUCCCCUGCAAGCCUCCCCCCAUUUUCUUCCCCGUAUACAUCCAAACCCCCAACCGCCCGCCCGCGCACUCAAACACCCCAAGCCAAACCCCUCGCGCCGCCAGCGCCGUCACGCCCUCCGCGAUGCCCCACCUCCGCUCACGCGCCAAGGCGGCGGCGGCGGCCGCCGCUGCCUUCCCGCCGUCACCGCCGGCGCCGGCCGGCGUCCCGCAGGGCACCCCCGCGCCGUCCCCGUCCACCUCCCUCCGCCUCGGCCUCGGCCCCGCCUCCCCCGAUGACGGCGGCUUCGACAUCAAGUCCCCGCCCGCCGCGCCGCCCCGGCGCAGCCUGCGCCUCGCGGGCGCCGCCGCCAGCCCGCCGACCCCCGCCGCGCGGGACGGCGGGUCCUCCGGCUCCGGGCCCGGGGCCGGCGGGAGCGUGAAGGGGACGGGGAGGGCCCGCGCCCGCGACUCCGCCUCCUCCCCUGUCGCCGCCUCGCCGAUGUCCGGUAACUUCGGGAGCGACGGCGGCGGCUCCGGCUCCGACGGCGCGGCGCCGUUUCUGAGCCUGCGGUCGGGGUCCCGGAUCGCGAAGCGGCGGGUGGAGGCCGGCGGGGAGGCGGGGCCUGGGCCGGCGGGCGGAGGCCAGGUGCUCGACGAAAUGCCGCGCCGGGCUGCGUGCACGCCGACGAAGCGGCAGAGGACAGUGCUGGUUGGGGGAGUGGAGACGGAGUACGUGGCCGAUUCGGAGAGCGGCUCUGAUGGGGAUUGCGUGAUGCUGAGGCAGAGUGGCGCGAGGGUGCCGGGGGCGCGGGUGAACACGGGUCGAAGUGGGGUGGAACCUAAGAGUGCCCUUGCUAUGAGCAUGGAUGGGAAUGACGAUGGCGUGGGCACGCCGACGAAGCGGCGGAGGAGCGUGCUGGUCGGGGGAGUGGAGACGGAGUACGUGGCCGAUUCGGAGAGCGACUCCGAUGGGGAUUCCGUGAUGCUGGGGCAGAGUGGCGUGAGGAUGCAGGGGGCGCCUGUAAACACUGGUCAAAUUGGGGUGAAACCGAAUGCUGUUGCUAUGAGCAUGGAUGGGACUGAAGAUGGCGCGAGGGAUGGUCCUGCCAAGGCAGGCAAUGGGGAGUCUGGUGGGGUGAUUGAGCAGUUAGUGAAUCCUGCGGGAAGUCCUUCGAGUCCCGAAGAAGAAAUGAUCGCGGAUAUGUAUUUCAAGAAAGAGUUGCGCCAAUACAAGUACAAGCUUAGAAAGGAAGGCAACGCGAAAGAGAAGCUAGUUUUGGGGAGCAACCAUUCUCGUGGUGUGGAUAGUGGAUAUGAACCCGCUUCCCGCAAAUUAAUUACUGAUAGUAAAGGAAAGGGAAAGAUGGUUGUAGAGGAUAGUUUAUCAUCUCUGAGCUCAGGUGAGGAUGAAUCAGGUUCGGAACCAGUGGUUUCUAAACAGAUUCAGAGGAAGUCAGAUUCGGAACCAGUGGAUGCUAAAGAGGUUCAGAUCAACUCAGGAUCAGUUUCUGCUUCUAUGGAGCCACUUCGCAGGCAAGCAGCAAGAGAGCGAGCUAUCAGGCUGGCCCCUAAGUUUGCAUUCUUCAAAGCAGAUAAAGAUGAACCUAGUGAAGAUGAAGAGGAAGAAGAGUUAGAGCCUGCUUCUGACCCUCAGGACUGGCCAGGCCCGUUUGCAACUGCUGCCAGGAUAUAUGAGGAGAGAGAAGCUAAGUUGAGAGCUCGAGAAUCGAAUUCUUCGAAGGUCAACAAGGCUGCUAAUAAGGCCGUCGUUUGGUCUCCUUCAAAGGAGAAGAAAAAUCCAGUACGGGCCACCCCAUCACUUACAAGCUUAUGCAUAAAUACUCUUGCAGAACAUUCUGAAGGCAUUGAAUCACUUGGAGAUAUCCCAGAGGAGCUAAAGCAUAAGCUGUUAAAGAUUCUGUGUCAUUCUAGGAAGAUGAAUGCCCAUCUUCUCAAUGAACUACUGUGUGAUAGUCCUGCAGAACUGCAUCUCAGUGAGUGUUCAUGGCUGAGUGAUGAUGACUUUGAGAAAACUUUUGGGAAAUGCAAGACAGAUAACCUGCGGGAUCUACAGCUUGAUAUAUCUGGAAGGUGCAUGCCUGAUUACAUAUUGCCAACUACCUUAGCUAAGGCUCCUAACUGCAUGUCAUUGUUGACAAAAAUAUCUCUGAAGGGAAAUUAUCGUCUUUCUGACAAGGGUUUAGAAACAAUCAUCUCUGCCGCACCUUCUCUGAGCUCACUAAAUUUGUCCGAGUGUUCUCUUCUCACUUCAUCUGGAAUUGUUGGUCUUGCUGACAAGUUACAUUCGGUACUUAGAGAACUGUAUAUAGAUGAGUGCUUAAACGUGGAUGCUAUGAUGAUUCUUCCCGCACUACAGAAGAUUAAUCAUCUAGAAGCUUUGUCAAUGUCUGGAAUACAAUCUGUGUGUGACAAGUUCGUGAAUGAGCUCCUUCCUGUACAUGGUUCGAAUUUGAAGGAGCUAGCAUUUGCUGGUUGCUCGAAACUUACCUCAUCUUCCAUCAAGACUAUCGGGCAGAAUUGUCCACAAUUAACUUCCUUAGAUCUCCGCAACUUGAAUAGGUUGCGUGACUCAGCAAUGAGGCAUCUUCGCUAUGGUUGUAGGCUAAUAAGGAAACUGAAGCUUCAAAGAAACACAUUCAGUGAUGAAGCACUUUCUCGAUAUUUGGAAGAAUCUGGAGGAUGCCUAACUGAGUUAAUGCUUAACAAUGUUGAGAAGGUAUUUUCUCCAUUGUCUUCUUGAAUGUUAUACUCCAUGACUGGUUGGAGACCUUACUGCUCUUGCAAUUUCUCGCAAGUGCUCUGUUCGGUUGGAGGCUCUGGAUCUUUCCUUCUGCCGUGAACUGACCAAUGAAGCUUUGGGUUUGAUUGUGGACAGCUGCCCAUCGUUGAGGAUUCUGAAACUAUUUGGUUGUACCCAGAUCACGGAUUUGUUCCUUAAGGGUCACUCAAAUACAUUCGUUAAAAUCAUCGGGAUAGAAGGGAGCAUACUGGAGCAAAUGGAUAACCAUUAGUUUGUGCCGAAAAUGACGCUUCAUUCCCCUGACCAUUCUGUUAUCUAGCUUAGGAAUUGAGACAUCAUGGGCCUGGAGGUGGCUGCAGUUUUCAGUGGGGAAUAUUUUGCCAACCGACCCUGCUGAAACCAGUUAGAUGUCCUUAGAAAACUAUCUGGAAAUGCUUGGUUUUUCUUCAUUUAGCUUUAAACAGUGGAAAAACUGCUGCUGCAUUCUGCAUACCAUUGAAAGAAAAUUUUCGUGUUAGAUGGUUAUGGAUGGAUAUUCAGAUCCUUUUCAUUUUA
Panicum virgatum (switchgrass) is the source of this 4021-nucleotide RNA transcript. RefSeq lists it as uncharacterized. The transcript is spliced from 7 exons. NCBI's taxonomy places the organism in Eukaryota, Viridiplantae, Streptophyta, Magnoliopsida, Poales, Poaceae. The record is from RefSeq and is a predicted model, not a curated record.